RNAcentral lists this small RNA (29 nucleotides) under Bombyx mori (domestic silkworm). RNAcentral describes it as "ovarian small RNA-10191". The record is from RNAcentral. Lineage: Eukaryota; Metazoa; Arthropoda; Insecta; Lepidoptera; Bombycidae.
AACAAAUUUUUCUGUCCCUAGGUCUUGUU